CUGGAACCACCAGUCACAAAAAGACUAAUGUAAAUGGUUGGAUGCACAGAUGAAGAGUCCAUAUGAACAGGAGGUAUCCAUCAAAAGCAGGUAACAGAAGAUGAAUACAAAAGUGUGACAUGAUUCUGAAGAAAAGGGCUAAAUCUCAGGCUUUUCUUGACAAAGAGGAUGAUCAUUGUACUGGAGAUGACAAAGUAAAUAUUUAUAAUAGGAGGUUGAUACUCAAGAUAAGUGAGGAGACAGUGAGAGUACCUCAGUGGCCCUAACAAAUUCAAAGUUACCUGGACCAGUUGAAAUAUAUCUUGAGUAUUAAAUAACUGGUAGGCAUUAUUUCUGA
Molecule: long non-coding RNA, 337 nt
Organism: Vombatus ursinus (common wombat)
Lineage: Eukaryota; Metazoa; Chordata; Mammalia; Diprotodontia; Vombatidae
Exons: 3
Source: RefSeq, a predicted model, not a curated record